RNAcentral lists this ribosomal RNA (256 nucleotides) under uncultured bacterium. RNAcentral's name for it is "partial 16S ribosomal RNA". The record is from RNAcentral.
CUGCUGCCUUCCGUAGGAGUUUGGGCCGUGUCUCAGUCCCAAUGUGGCCGAUCACCCUCUCAGGUCGGCUACUGAUCGUCGCCUUGGUGAGCCAUUACCUCACCAACUAGCUAAUCAGACGCGGGUCCAUCUCACACCGAUAAAUCUUUUCCGUCCGGGCCAUGCGGCCCUAGCGGGUUAUGCGGUAUUAGCAGUCAUUUCUAACUGUUAUCCCCCUGUGUGAGGCAGGUUACCCACGCGUUACUCACCCGUCCCG